Molecule: ribosomal RNA, 1945 nt
Filed under: uncultured bacterium
Lineage: Bacteria
Description: bacterial LSU rRNA
Rfam family: Bacterial large subunit ribosomal RNA
Source: RNAcentral
AUAAGCUACUAAGGGCGAAUGGUGGAUGCCUAGGUUGGUAAAGGCGAAGAAGGACGUGCUAGGCUGCGAUAAGCCUCGGGGAGUUGUCAAGAGACUUUGAUCCGGGGAUUUCCGAAUGGGGCAACCCAAUACAUAGUGAUGUGUAUUACUGCAUUUUGCAGAGCGAACGAGGGGAAGUGAAACAUCUCAGUAUCCUCAGGAAAAGAAAUCAAAAGAGAUUCUGCUAGUAGCGGCGAGCGAACGCGGAUUAGGGCAGUUAGUAUUAACACAUAUAUUAGAAGAAUCCUCUGGAAAGUGGAACCAAAGAGAGUGAUAGUCUCGUAAUUAAAAAUAUUUGUGUGGAACUAGGCUAACGAACGAGUAGGUCGGGACACGUGAUAUCUUGACUGAAUAUGGGGGGACCACCCUCCAACCCUAAAUACUACUACUAAACCGAUAGUGAACCAGUACCGUGAGGGAAAGGUGAAAAGAACCCCAGUGAGGGGAGUGAAAUAGAACCUGAAACCAUUUGCCUACAAUCAUUCAGAGCACUAUGAUUUAUCAGUGUGAUGGACUGCCUUUUGCAUAAUGAGCCUGCGAGUUAUGGUAUAUGGCGAGGUUAAGGAAACCCGGAGCCGUAGUGAAAGCGAGCCUGAAUAGGGCGAAUUAGUCAUGUGUUGCAGACCCGAAACGAAGUGAUCUAUCCAUGAGCAGGUUGAAGCUGGUGUAAGAGCUAGUGGAGGACCGAACCGGUGUGCGUUGAAAAGUGCUCGGAUGACUUGUGGAUAGGGGUGAAAGGCCAAUCAAACUUCGUGAUAGCUGGUUCUCUCCGAAAUAUAUUUAGGUAUAGCCUCUUGUCGUAACAUAGGGGGGUAGAGCACUGAUUGGGCUAGGGCUGCAUCCCGCGGUACCAAACCCUGUCAAACUCCGAAUACCCUAUGCGUAAUCAAGGGAGUCAGGCGGCGGGUGAUAAAAUGCGUCGUCGAGAGGGAAACAACCCAGACUACCAACUAAGGUCCCAAAGUUAUAAUUGAGUGGAAAACGAUGUGAAAUUACUGAGACAACCAGGAGGUUGGCUUAGAAGCAGCCAUCCUUUAAAGAAAGCGUAAUAGCUCACUGGUCUAGUGAUUCUGCGCGGAAAAUAUAACGGGGCUAAAAUAUCCACCGAAGCUGUAGAUUUGAAAUUUAUUUCAAGUGGUAGGAGAGCGUUCUAGUCAGCGCUGAAGGUAUACCGGUAAGGAGUACUGGAGCGGCUAGAAGUGAGCAUGCAGGCAUGAGUAGCGAUAAAAGGGGUGAGAAUCCCCUUCGCCGAAAACCCAAGGUUUCCUACGCGAUGCUCGUCAUCGUAGGGUUAGUCGGGUCCUAAGCUGAGUCCGAAAGGGGUAGGCGAUGGAAAAUAGGUUAAUAUUCCUAUACCAACAAUAGAGCGUGAUGUAGGGACGCUUAGAGCUAAACGAGCUAACUGAUGGAAUAGUUAGUCGAAGGGAGUAGGUUGAAUCAUUGGCAAAUCCGUGAUUCUUUAUCCGAGACCUGACAGGCACUCGAAAUUCUUCGGAAUGGAAGGUGAAUCGUUGAUGCUGUCGAGCCAAGAAAAGCUACUAAGCAUAUCUAUUGUUGCCCGUACCGCAAACCGACACAGGUGGGUGAGAUGAGUAUUCUAAGGCGCGUGGAAGAAUCCUGGUUAAGGAACUCUGCAAAAUAGCACCGUAUCUUCGGUAUAAGGUGUGCCUCCCUUUGUGAAACCCCUGCGGGUGGAGCGAAGAAGGUUACAACAAAGAGUCCCUCCCGACUGUUUACCAAAAACACAGCACUCUGCUAACUCGUAAGAGGAUGUAUAGGGUGUGACGCCUGCCCGGUGCUCGAAGGUUAAAAGGAUUGCUUAGCAUUAGCGAAGGCAUGAAUUGAAGCCCGAGUAAACGGCGGCCGUAACUAUAACGGUCCUAAGGUAGCGAAAUUCCUUGUCGGU